CAGAGCAUUGUGGCAACACACAACAUGAGAAAGGAGCAACAAAAGAAGACCCAAUGCUGGAUGAGCAAAGCACAUUAGGGUGAAAGAGACCAGUAUCAUAGCAAAUAAUGGAUUGAAUCUUAUGAUCCUGACAACCUGUUUCAAUAGAAAGCACAUUAGGGUGAAAGAGACCAGUGUCAUAACAAAUAAUGGAUUGAAUCUUAUGAUCCUGACAACCUGUUUCAAUAGUGAAAACUUAUAUUAAGAAAACAAGCACAAUGCAGAAAAUUUAAUUAGAUAUUGAAAUUUCGACAACCACUAAGAUUAGAGGACAAGGAAUGCAGAAUACAUUCAAUUU
This 337-nucleotide long non-coding RNA is filed under the name Nicotiana benthamiana. RNAcentral's name for it is "long non-coding RNA (NBEN_LNC020558)". Lineage: Eukaryota; Viridiplantae; Streptophyta; Magnoliopsida; Solanales; Solanaceae. The record is from RNAcentral.